RNAcentral lists this long non-coding RNA (1028 nucleotides) under Triticum aestivum (bread wheat). RNAcentral describes it as "long non-coding RNA (TAES_LNC021384)". Lineage: Eukaryota; Viridiplantae; Streptophyta; Magnoliopsida; Poales; Poaceae. The record is from RNAcentral.
CCGUGUGAUCGUGACAGAGAUUGACCCCAUCUGCGCCCUUCAGGCCCUGAUGGAGGGCAUCCAGAUCCUCACUUUGGAGGACGUUGUCUCUGAUGCUGACAUCUUUGUGACCACCACUGGAAACAAGGACAUCAUCAUGGUUGACCACAUGAGGAAGAUGAAGAACAACGCCAUUGUCUGCAACAUUGGUCACUUUGACAACGAGAUCGACAUGAACGGCCUCGAGACCUACCCUGGUGUCAAGCGCAUCACCAUCAAGCCUCAGACUGACCGCUGGGUCUUCCCUGAGACCAACACUGGCAUCAUUGUUCUUGCUGAGGGUCGUCUGAUGAACCUUGGCUGUGCCACUGGCCACCCCAGCUUUGUCAUGUCCUGCUCAUUCACCAACCAGGUAUGAUCAAUGUGUAGUCAACUGUUAACUAGUAUUGAGUUCACAACUGAUAGUACAACCAUGAGUUAGCAUCCAAUUUUGUGCUUUGCUGCAGGUCAUUGCUCAGCUGGAGUUGUGGAAGGAGAAGGCCACCGGCAAGUACGAGAAGAAGGUGUACGUGCUCCCCAAGCACCUCGACGAGAAGGUCGCCGCCCUCCACCUGGGCAAGCUGGGUGCCAGGCUUACCAAGCUCACCAAGGCCCAGUCUGAGUACAUUAGCAUCCCAGUCGAUGGUCCCUACAAGCCGGCGGCAUACCGGUACUAGUGUGUCUGUCCAGCACGACUAGCGGCUGGCCUGAGCCUGAGAGGCGCACGGCGACCUAUGAACUAUCCUGUUUUCCUUUGCAUUAUCUAUCUAGAUUUAGGCAUGUUGUCUAUUAGGUGGAGGAUUUGUCAUGGUUUGAGACUGGUGAGGGUGUGGUGGAUUGCUAUUGCCCAGAAAUAAUAGUGUUAUUAUUUUGGUUUAAAUGAGGAGGUGUGUUUUGUCCUUCUGAUUCUACAUGUCUGAUGCUCCGUCCAUGGACGUGACAAAUCUUUUGCCUCCGUUUCGGAAAAAGAAUAGUCCGUGAGUGGUGUGAUGUGAGUUACUGAGCUCCAA